RNAcentral lists this ribosomal RNA (493 nucleotides) under uncultured bacterium. RNAcentral's name for it is "partial 16S ribosomal RNA". It matches the Rfam family "Bacterial small subunit ribosomal RNA", at positions 28 to 504 of the family's 1533-position model. The record is from RNAcentral.
GAUGAACGCUGGCGGCGUGCCUAAUACAUGCAAGUCGAGCGAACAGAUGAGGAGCUUGCUCCUCUGACGUUAGCGGCGGACGGGUGAGUAACACGUGGAUAACCUACCUAUAAGACUGGGAUAACUUCGGGAAACCGGAGCUAAUACCGGAUAAUAUAUUGAACCGCAUGGUUCAAUAGUGAAAGACGGUUUUGCUGUCACUUAUAGAUGGAUCCGCGCCGCAUUAGCUAGUUGGUAGGUAACGGCUUACCAAGGCGACGAUGCGUAGCCGACCUGAGAGGGUGAUCGGCCACACUGGAACUGAGACACGGUCCAGACUCCUACGGGAGGCAGCAGUAGGGAAUCUUCCGCAAUGGGCGAAAGCCUGACGGAGCAACGCCGCGUGAGUGAUGAAGGUCUUCGGAUCGUAAAACUCUGUUAUUAGGGAAGAACAAAUGUGUAAGUAACUAUGCACGUCUUGACGGUACCUAAUCAGAAAGCCACGGCUAACUAC